AGCGAACGCUGGCGGCAGGCUUAACACAUGCAAGUCGAGCGGGCACUUUCGGGUGUCAGCGGCGGACGGGUGAGUAACGCGUGGGAACGUGCUCUCUGGUUCGGAAUAACUCAGGGAAACUUGAGCUAAUACCGGAUACGCCCUUUUGGGGAAAGGCUUGCUGCCGGAGGAUCGGCCCGCGUCUGAUUAGCUAGUUGGUGAGGUAACGGCUCACCAAGGCGACGAUCAGUAGCUGGUCUGAGAGGAUGAUCAGCCACACUGGGACUGAGACACGGCCCAGACUCCUACGGGAGGCAGCAGUGGGGAAUAUUGGACAAUGGGCGCAAGCCUGAUCCAGCCAUGCCGCGUGAGUGAUCAAGGCCUUAGGGUUGUAAAGCUCUUUUAUCCGGGACGAUAAUGACGGUACCGGAGGAAUAAGCCCCGGCUAACUUCGUG
RNAcentral lists this ribosomal RNA (435 nucleotides) under uncultured bacterium. RNAcentral's name for it is "partial 16S ribosomal RNA". It matches the Rfam family "Bacterial small subunit ribosomal RNA", at positions 29 to 507 of the family's 1533-position model. The record is from RNAcentral.